UGCAGUCGAACGAGAAAGAGUUCCUUCGGGAACUUGAGUAGAGUGGCGCACGGGUGAGUAACGCGUAGAUAUCUACCCUUAUAUAUGGAAUAACUGGGCGAAAGCUCAGCUAAUACCGUAUACGCUUUUCCGGGCGCGAGACCGGGGGAGGAAAGGUGGCCUCUGAUUCAAGCUAUCGUAUAAGGAUGAGUCUGCGUACCAUUAGCUAGUAGGUGGGGUAAUAGCCCACCUAGGCGACGAUGGUUAGCGGGUCUGAGAGGAUGAUCCGCCACACUGGAACUGGAACACGGACCAGACUCCUACGGGAGGCAGCAGUGAGGAAUUUUGCGCAAUGGGGGUAACCCUGACGCAGCGACGCCGCGUGGGUGAUGAAGGCUUUCGAGUCGUAAAGCCCUGUCAAGUGGGAAGAACCGUCAAUAUGCUAAUACCAUGUUGAUCUGACGGUACCACUAAAGGAAGCACCGGCUAACUCCGUGCCAGCAG
RNAcentral lists this ribosomal RNA (483 nucleotides) under uncultured bacterium. Its description in RNAcentral is "bacterial SSU rRNA". It matches the Rfam family "Bacterial small subunit ribosomal RNA", at positions 56 to 514 of the family's 1533-position model. The record is from RNAcentral.